AAGAAAGAAAGAAGAAAACCCAGUUCACCCGUUGGCUUCCUCAUCCGGCCCAUCGAACCGCAAACCCUAACCUCCCAAUCGCCGCCAGUCUCCGGCGGAGAGCGAAUGAUGGCGAGGGGCCGCCGCGGCCCGGGCGGACCGGGGAGGUACGCCGGUGGGCAGCGGGGCGACGAGCGACCGUACCGCCACGGCGCACGCGUCGAUGAAGUCCCGUGCACCACGCCACCGCGGCGGGCAUCGGGCUGGGGCGUGGCGCCGCCGUCGCGGCACCUGUGGGUGGGCGGCCUGGCGCCCGGCGUCACGGCGUCCGACCUGUCGGAGCUGUUCCUCCGGUGUGGCGACGUCGAGGGCAUCGCCCGCGACCCGGGGCGCAACUUCGCGUUCGUGAGCUUCCGGCGGGAAGGGGACGCCGUGGCCGCGGUGCGGGGGCUGCAGGGGGCCCGCCUCGCCGGGGCGCCCGUUAGGAUCGAGUUUUCCAAGGGGGAUAAGGCUUCAGGUAGCUCAAUGGAUGACAGAUAUACACAGUAUGUUGAUGAGCGUCAUUCUAUUGAACGUGGAAGAAAACGGCAAUCAAGUCCUGAAAACUCAAUAGAUAAAUCUAAAAGAAAUAGGUCUACAGAACCUAGUGAGGUGUUAUGGAUAGGUUUUCCUCCUGGAUUAAAGGCAGAUGAGGCACUUCUGUGGGAAGCCUUUUCACCUUUUGGGGAGGUUCUCAGGGUAACAACAUUCUCAGGCCGUACAUAUGCAUUUGUCCAGUACACUAGUAUUGCAGCAGCCUGCAGAGCAAAAGAAGCACUUCAGGGAAAGCUUUUCAAUAAUCCUCGAGUAAGCAUAUGCUUUUCUCGAAGUGAAGGUGCUGCACCGGAAGUUGGGAAAAGAUCAUUUGUUGCCCCAUAUUCCCCCCAACCUAGUGCUCAGCCUGUCUUCAGAGACCAAGACUUUGAAGCCUUUCCUACAACUAGACCUUUUGAUAGCCCUCCGAGGGAUUUCCGCAUGGCAUCACCACAUUUUGGCCUAAAUAGGUUAUCAAGAGAUUCAGAUGAUAUGGGAUUCCACAGGGAUGGUUAUUUUCAACAUGAAGCUGGAGCAGAGCUUGGCCGUGUCUCUAAUAUCAAGCCUUUUAGAAUACGGGAGCUUGGUCCAGAAAGAAGGAUGCCUGAGGAAUUGUAUGAGCCCCAUAGGCAAAGCCCUACUGCUAGGAGUGAUGCGCCAUGGCGCAACAUUCCUUUUGAGAGACCUCGGAGACCCUUACCAUUGGAAGAUUCUUGGGAUGUUGAAGACAAUUCAUACCUUAUUUCAAAAGAGCUGAGGGGUUCUCAGGUGCAUGAUACGGAACUUCCUGAAUAUCCUUUCUCUGAAUUUGAUCGAGGAAAAGUUCUCCCUGACUACCCAAGGAGGCCCCAUCGUGAUUUGCCAGAAGAUGAUUUACGCUCUAGAACCUAUCCAUUCACUCCUAUGCAUAGUAAACAUCACACUGAUCCUUUAAAGAAUCUAACUCCACUUGUAAAUAAACAUGAACCAUGGCAUGCUCAAGAAAGUUUUGCUAGGCAUUUAGGAGAAAUGGAUAGAUUGACGCCAGAACAUCAUGAACCUGCUCUUAAGGAGGAAUGGAAAUGGAAUGGUAUAAUAGCAAAGGGAGGCACCCUGAUCUGCCGAGCUCGAUGCUUCCCUGUUGGGAAGGUCCUUGACUUCAUGCUGCCUGAGUUUCUGGAUUGCACUGCUAGGACAAGUCUAGAUAUGCUUUCUAAGCACUACUAUCAAGCUGCUGGCAGCUGGGUGGUAUUUUUUGUUCCGGAAAAUGAUGCGGACAUGGCAGCUUAUAAUGAUUUCAUGAGUUACCUUGGUGAUAAACAGCGUGCAGCAGUUUGUAAGCUUGGAGAGAGGAGCACCUUGUUUCUUGUUCCACCUUCAGAUUUCUCUGAGCAAGUACUGAGAGUGCCUGGAAAAGUCAGCAUAUCUGGAGUCAUUCUGAGGUUUCAGCAGUCAAAUCCAGAUUAUAGCUCGCCAAAUCGCAAAUCGUUGGAGAGAAUUCACCCAUCUUCUGCAAGUAAUCUUAACGCUGAUGUAAGCAGUCGUGAAGAUCUGAAUGCCUUGAGAAGACUCAACCAACCAGAUAGCAGGACAUUCCCACAGGGUCCAGAUUAUGUCCGCUCAUCAGGUGGAAGCUAUACCCUAGCAAGUGCAGAUAUUAUUUCGCCUUACAAGCCAGAGAGUCCUCCAUAUGUUGUCUCUCAAUUACCGCAUGAUUGGCCACCAGCUGACCCCCACAUGGGUAUAGCACAAGACAAACAUCAGCAACUUCUAAACAUGUUGCCCUCAGGAUGGUCAAAUAGCAUGAAUGAUCCAAAUCCAGGUUCUGGUAACUUCAGUUCUUUGUCCCAGAGUGCAAUCUCACAUGCUCUAAAUAACAGGAUACAGGAGCCAUACUCAUUUGCUACUCAAGGAGUACCAAAAGAGGCAGCAUCAGGGUAUGCACCAGGUGAAGUAUCCAACAGCAUGUCCUGGCCUUCCAUGCAACCGAACUCACAGCAGGUAGCUAGACCUGAUCAACCUACUAUUCCAGUAUCACUGCCACCAGAUCAACUUGCGCAGCUGGCUGCCCUUCUUGCACAACAAAACCAACCUGGAAAAGUUGGUUUUCCCAUGGACAGCUCAAACAACCAAUCUGGAUUCAUACAGAAUUCCAAUCCUCAUGGACAUGCUACAAUGAUACGAGGCAACUCUGGUUCCUUCCCUAUCCAGAACUCCAUGCCACCUCUUCCACCAUCUACGCCACAGUUACCUGGUCAUGUGCCACCAAUACAAGGGGCGCUACCUGUGCAUCCAGCCAGUGCUCCUAUAAUUUCUAACACCACUUUGCCUAUACCACCCAUGCAUGCUUUGGUGAACCCAGCUCAUUCUUCCAUGCCAUUGAGACCCUUCGUUCCUCCACUUCCUGAAGGUCCUCCGCCCUUUCAGCAGAACACAUCCAGUGCUUCCACAUUACAACCUUUAGCUCCUUCUCGCCAACAGCCUAGCCAACAACUGUCUACUCAGGAAGACGGUGAUGGAGAUCCUCAAAAGCGCCUUCAAGCAACAUUGCAGUUGGCAGCAACCCUGCUUAAGCAGAUUCAAAAUCAAUCAAAUCCUGGUGCCCAGAAAUAGAUGCAAGGAUCUAUUACUUCAGUUACUCAAAGUUUUGCUCUAUCUUUAUUUCUGGGGUCUUGUCGGUUAUUUGUUCUGUCAAUCCGGAAGGAAUCUACGGUGCCAGUCCUUUUUGUUCUAAGGAGCCUGAAACUGAUGAUGACAUGCUUUCCUGCAGUUCUAUGCCAUCGCCUCCUGUGGCGUGAAUGUGUAUUCCUGUAACCUAUUAGGCAUUAGCUGCUGUCUGAACUGCUCUUUGCCUGGUACAAAUGGUCGAGCCUGAUGUCUGGAUUUUGUCAUUUCCUUUCUUGAGCGCAUCUUUCUAUGGCAUAUACUGGUUUAGAAAGGUUCACUAAUUGGUGUUUUGGUUCCAGAUGUUGUGAUGGCAUGGCUUCCAUGAGUAACAUAGUAAUCCAGCUUCAUAUCGA
Molecule: RNA transcript, 3551 nt
Organism: Setaria italica (foxtail millet)
Lineage: Eukaryota; Viridiplantae; Streptophyta; Magnoliopsida; Poales; Poaceae
Gene name: flowering time control protein FPA
Exons: 6
Source: RefSeq, a predicted model, not a curated record